Molecule: long non-coding RNA, 393 nt
Organism: Orcinus orca (killer whale)
Lineage: Eukaryota; Metazoa; Chordata; Mammalia; Artiodactyla; Delphinidae
Exons: 3
Source: RefSeq, a predicted model, not a curated record
AUUAGUUAAAUGGCCUUUAUUGUUUUGCCUAAGAGAGGUCAAUUAAUCACCCAAAGUGUUACCUGACAGUAAUUAACAAUCAGCAGAGACAAAGUACCACUUCAUUAGUGAUUUUUGGCACCAAGGAAAGGGUGAGAAAAACACAAGUGUGGCAGCUCACCAGAGCAGACCUCCAGAAACCUUCACGCUGGAAUCCAUCUUAGCUGAGAGAUGAGCGGGCAACACCAGGAAGGACCCAGAGUCAGGCCAAAUGUGGGCACAAACAACAUGACUGGGCAGAAACAACCCGGAAGACUGCCCCCAUAAGAGAAGCCACCCUUACUGCGCACAACUCACUCCAAGUUCACCCAUGUGCUCUUCCACAUGUACUUUUUGCUUCUAAUAAACGCUGUA